RNAcentral lists this unclassified non-coding RNA (5415 nucleotides) under Chelonus insularis. RNAcentral describes it as "gIGYF family protein CG11148-like, transcript variant X1". The record is from RNAcentral. Lineage: Eukaryota; Metazoa; Arthropoda; Insecta; Hymenoptera; Braconidae.
CGUCAGAUACGAUUUCUUUUUGCGCACGCGCUUUAUCUAUAAAAAAAUCAUCGGCCAUAUUGGUGUGUUGUAUUGUUCGCUCAGUAAUUCUCAAGUUUAAUAAGGUAGGCAGUAUGACCGACUCCAUGAAAUUCGGACCAGAGUGGUUACGCAAUCUAGCUGGAGACAGUUGCAAUUCGGGAGGUAGCGGUGGAGGGACUGCAAACCUGAUUACACCUCGGUAUCAAUUAGCGGAGCAUAGAUAUGGUCGUGAAGAAAUGUUAGCUUUAUUCGAUCGUAAUUGCAAACCGCCAGAAUCUAUCAUGAAUUUGCAGGCUCUUUAUGUUGAAAAAACUCAGCUCCCACUGGCUUUUAUACCUGAAACAGAAGAUGAAACGCGGGCGCGAAGUAAUAUAGGACGUGGAAGAGGAGCAAGUGUUGAUCGUGGUGGACGUAUUAAAAGUGGAAGGGGAGUUAUGUUCUCAUCUCACUAUUCACGUGGUAGUAGUGGUGGUGGAAGUAGUAGUGGUUGUAGUUUCGAUGAUUCUGGAGAUGGAAAUCGUCUUGAUGCACAAUCCUAUCCAGGAAGAAGUCGAACAACUUUUGAUAGAUCACAAAAUGAUCGUGUAGGAUGGUCAGAUCGCAAUGGGAGUUCAGAUACAAGCGAUUGGAAUGGCUCUACUAGUCCGAGAAAAGAACUAUGUAGAGGAGGUACCACCCUUAGUAGUAAUUUUCUAAUGGAAGGUAAUUGGAGGCGUCAUCGAGGUGAUGAUGAAGAAGGUUGGAGAACUACAAGUACUCGGAGUGAAAAGUGGAUUAGAAGCAAUUGGCGCGAUGGGGGUGGCUCUGAGAGAGCCGACGGUGAUGGGGAGGAUAGUCGGGUAUCUGGACGCUGGGAAUCUAGAGGAAGAUCUUCCUCUCACGAUUCGUCCCAUCAUCAUCAUCAUCACCAUCAUCAUCAUCAUCAUCACCCUCCUCCUCCUCGUACUGCUCGAACCUGGGAGUCGUCUAAUCACCAUGAUAAUCAUGAUAAUCUCCCUGAAUGGGCAACGGAAAAUCCGACCGAAAGUGGUGGGAGUUUUGAUGCUUCAGGUGCCUUUCACGGUGGUAUAUUCUCUGAUGAUGAUGAUGACGAUGGGGGUGUUCGUAUUCGUCGUGUUUCUGAAAGUACUCUUAGUACAUCUUCCAAGACUGGAAGUAAAUCUACAUUAUUUCAUAGCAAUAACCAAACGGCUGCUCAUCGUUCAAUUACUAAUCCCAAUAAUGUAUCAAUUAAUUCAUCUUCAAGAGAGAAACUUAAAUCAUUACAUCCGUUUGAUACAGAAGAUAAGGUUGGAGAUAAAAGCUCUUUACCAUCAAUGAACAAAGUAAUGACAACAUCAACUAAUUUUUUAUUGAAAGAAACAUUACCAUCGGCUGCUACUGUUAUUAAUGAUUCAAUAUCAAUUCAUAACAAAUCCUCCAGCUUGGAAAAUUCUUCAAGUUCGUUUACUGAUUCUACUAUUGCUAAUAGUAAUAACAGUAAUAAUUCUACUACUAUAACUACGAUCGCGGCUUCCACUUCUACUUGUACAACAAAUACUACUAUGACUGUUGCUGAAUCAAUGAAAAUCCAACUUCCACAACGUUCUAAAUCAUUUGUUGAAUUAUCAACUAAAAAAAGUAUAUUUACGAGUGUCAGUCAACAAGAUUCUACUAUUCAGCCUGUACAACAAAAUCUUGAGAGAGUUAGCAAUCAGCAGAAUAAUAUUAAUAAAAUUUCUCUUAAUAAUGCUAAUCAAAUGCACGUUCCACCAGAAAAGCCUGAAGAUGAUCUCGAAAUAAUGAAAGAGCAAGCUGUUAGUUUAGUAGCGAAAUUAAUGGCCGAUGAAGAAAAUCAUCAAGAACAAAAUUCACUUAUAUUAACGGCAACAACUACAGCAAUGACUACGACGACAACAGUAACAUCAUCAUCGUCAUCAUUAUCAUCAGCUUCAUCGUCUUCAUCAUCCUCAUCAUCAUCUUCAUCAUCAUCACCAUCAUCAGUAACAAAUCAUGUACAUCCAUUAGUUAAUACAUCGAUUCAGGAAAAAUGGUUUUAUCGAGACCCUCAAGGAGAGGUUCAAGGACCAUUUUUAGCGAGUGAAAUGGCGGAAUGGUGUAAAGCUGGAUACUUUACGCCAAGUUUAUUAGUUAGAAGAACUUGUGAUGAGAGGUAUGCAACCCUCGGAGAUUUAAUGAAAUUAUGUGGUAGAGUACCAUUUGUUCCGGGUCCACCAAUACCUCCAUUAAAAUCGACAGAACCAGUGGUCAUACCACCGAUAACAAAUACUGUAGCCACAGGAAUAUCUGGUAGUGCCUUACCUAAACCAGGAAUAGAGGAUCCUCUUCUCUUGUUACAGUAUCACCAUCAACUACACAUGAUGCAUAAUCGUCAAUUAUUGUUUCGGCAGUUAAAAACUUCUGCUAUAGCUAAACUCUCUCAAACUGAACAUUGGGCAAAUUUAAGUCCUGUUGAGCAAAAUCAAUUAAUAAUGCAAUGUAUAUUGCAAGAUUCUGAGACAAGAGAUUUACCUAUAGUAACGAAUCCUUUUGUACCAACACCUUUAGCACCACCACCAGCAAAUCCUGUUAUGCAACUUUUCAAUCAAAUACAACAGGCUAAGCUACCAAAUGAUAAUCAUCUAAGCUCUCAUUCAUCAAUACCAACAGUACAUCCUGGACCAGCUUUAGAUCCUAUCCAACAGCUUAUUCAACAAAUGGGUGGGAUACAAAAUAUUCCAGUAACACCAACCAUUAAUUCUCCUCCGCCUCCACUUCCUCUUUUAACUCAACCGACUCCAGAAGAAGAUCCAAUUAAAUCAUUACUUCGUCAGCUACAUGUUAGUGCUAAUGGGCACAAUCCACAACCACAUCAGGUGGAUUCAAUUUGGCCACAACAGCAGCCACCUCCUCCACCACCACCCCAAAUGAAUCCAUCACAAUUCAAUGCCCAAAGUUGGUUGACACAGGUUGGACAAAUUCCACCUGGUCAAAUGACCAAUCCAUUAUGGAAUUUACAUACAAAAGAAAUAAAGACUGAGCAACAAAUAUUAGAAGAACAAAAUAUUAGAAUACAAGAAAAUAGAAAAAAAGAAUUAAGAAAGCAAGAAGAACAGAAAAAACAAGUUGAAGAUGAAAAUGCAAGCCGGAAAUUAGAAGAAGAUCAAGCGAAACGAAAUGAGGCUCAGCGUAAAGAAGAAGAACGAAAACGAAAGGAAGAAGAGAAAAAGAUUAAAAAUGAAGAAAAACGUAAACAGCAGCAACAAGAAGAAGAUCAUCAAAAGAAAAAGGAAGAGAAAAAGCGAAAAGAAGAAGAGAAAAAACGUGACGAAAAACGAAAGCAAGAUGAAGAAAUUAAUAGAAAGAAACAAGAAGAAGAAAAGAAAAAACGUGAACAGCUUAAAAAGCAGGAAGAAAAAUUAAGGAAGGAAGAAGAGAAGCGAAAAAAGCAAGCAGAAGAACAGAAACGUAUUGAAGAUGAAAGAUUGAAAAAAGAGGAAGAAAUGCGCAAGAAGGCUGAAGCCGAAGAACAAGCAAAACGUGCUGCUGCAGUUGCUGAGCAAAGACGUCGAGAAGCAGAAGCCCUAAAGAAAUUGCAGGAACGUAGUAGAGCGCCAUGGGCUCAAACUCCUUAUGUAUCAUUACCCACAACUCAUGCUUCUUUAGCAGAAAUUCAAAGAUUAGAACGAGAAAAGAAAGCUGAAGAAUUACGUUUACAACAAAUUAUGCAACAACAAAUAGCUCAACAAAAAACAGCAGAAAUAUCAAAGGAUACAGUAAUUACCUCUGAUUCUUCAUCAAAACGUCAACCAUUUAAAUGGGCUGAAAAAGCUGCUCCUUCAAAUAAUCAACCUCAAGUAAAAAGCUUGGCUCAAAUUCAACAAGAAGAGCAAGAGAAAAUAGCUAAAGUUAAACAACAAGAAAAAGAGCGUUAUGAAAAAGCAGCUGUAAAUCAGAAAGAUACAUCAACUGUAAUUCAAAAUGCUGGAAUUUGGGGAAGUGCAUCUCAAUCUCUUAAUUGGGCUAAUACUGUCAAUUCGUCGACAUGUGAUAAUACUAAGAUUAGCAACAAAGCUUGGUCUAGUGGUGGAGGAUUAUGGGAUGAUCCUGUUACUUCUUCUAUUAAACAACAACCAUUAAUUUCAACUAAACUGCAAGUAAAACCAGUAGCAACAACAAAACCAGUGGCUGUUCAACAACCACAACCAAAUAACAACAAUACUACUAAUAACAAUAAUACUAAUAAUAGUAUGAAUAAUAAAGUAGCAAAAAAUAAAGUCAAAAAAGAAGAAGAACUGGUAAAAAAAUUAUUUGAGAAUAACACUGCCAAAGUCGAUGAAUUUACACAAUGGUGUAAUCGUACUUUAAAUGGACUUCAAGUAUCUGUUGAUAUUCCGACAUUCGUUGGCUUUUUGAGAGAUAUUGAAUCAGCGUAUGAAGUUAAAGAAUAUGUGAGAAUGUAUCUUGGAGAUAGUAAACAAUGUACAGAGUUUGCUAAGCAAUUUUUAGAAAAACGUAGUAAAUGGCGAUCAGCUCAACGUCCACAAGUAGAAGCUGAUGAUCUUUGCAAACCAGCACCUGCUGUUAAUCCAAAUAAUACCACAGAAUUUCAAGAAGUUAAGGGUAAAUCAAAGAAGCCAAAAAAAGGGAAAAUGUUCAAAGUUGACAAUAGGAUUCUUGGAUUCAGUGUUACUGCGGCUACUGAUCGUAUUAAUGUUGGCGAUCGUGAUUAUGGAGAAGGAGUUUAAACAUUAUGCUCUAUAGUUGAAUAAAACAUAUAAAAAGAAAGAGAAAGAGACAGUGACAGCUUUAACGUAUUGAAAUAUGUACGUACGUGAACGAGGAUUCCAUGUUUAUAAUGAAAAAAAUAUUUAAAUAAAAAUCAUGUAAAUAUUAUUUAAAUGGAAAUAUCUAACUAACUAUACAUCAUUUUUACAAAUGAAGAUACCAUUAUCACAAUCAUUAUUAUUAUUAUACUGUUAAAUAUUAUUAAUUAAAACUUCACACUUAAUAUUAAAUUGAUUCAGCUUAUGGAAUGCAAUUAAUAUAAGUAGUACAUGAAAUAAUUAUAUUAAUAUCAAUCAAUUUUAAAUCUUGUAAAGACCAUCGAAUGCUCUUGAUCUCUACUUAAGAUCGUUGUUUUUUUUUAUUCUCUGAUGUUAUGAUCUGUGACGUUGAUACAACAUAGGAACAAAUUCUGAAAUUAAUUGUUCGAAUUAUCAAUUAUAUGAUUACUUAUUAUUCUCAAUUAGAGAUAAUAUGAAUUUUCUAAAAUACAUGGUUUGUUCAAGUACCCACACAUGUUCUGCCAGAUUCUUUUAGGUAAUCAAUCAUUCACGUGAAUCGCAGAAGAAAUUUUUCAAAUAUAUUUUUGAUGUAAAAAAAAAAAUUAAAGAAAAACUUUUAAUACCACAA